This 226-nucleotide ribosomal RNA is filed under the name uncultured bacterium. RNAcentral's name for it is "partial 16S ribosomal RNA". It matches the Rfam family "Bacterial small subunit ribosomal RNA", at positions 524 to 750 of the family's 1533-position model. The record is from RNAcentral.
UACGUAGGUGGCAAGCGUUUGUCCGGAAUUACUGGGUGUAAAGCGCGUGUAGGCGGGAGGCCAAGUCUGCUGUGAAAUCGCUCGGCUCAACUGGCGAGGUCGGUGGAAACUGGUCCCCUGGGAGGACGGUAGAGGCGAGUGGAAUUCCCGGUGUAGUGGUGAAUGCGUAGAGAUCGGGAGGAACACCAGUGGCGAAGGCGGCUCGCUGGGCCUUACUGACGCUGAG